This 478-nucleotide ribosomal RNA is filed under the name uncultured bacterium. RNAcentral's name for it is "partial 16S ribosomal RNA". It matches the Rfam family "Bacterial small subunit ribosomal RNA", at positions 28 to 507 of the family's 1533-position model. The record is from RNAcentral.
GAUGAACGCUGGCGGCGUGCUUAACACAUGCAAGUCGAACGGGAAAUAUUUCAUUGAGACUUCGGUGGAUUUGAUUUAUUUCUAGUGGCGGACGGGUGAGUAACGCGUGGGUAACCUGCCUUAUACAGGGGGAUAACAGUCAGAAAUGGCUGCUAAUACCGCAUAAGCGCACAGAGCUGCAUGGCUCAGUGUGAAAAACUCCGGUGGUAUAAGAUGGACCCGCGUUGGAUUAGCUAGUUGGUGGGGUAACGGCCCACCAAGGCGACGAUCCAUAGCCGGCCUGAGAGGGUGAACGGCCACAUUGGGACUGAGACACGGCCCAGACUCCUACGGGAGGCAGCAGUGGGGAAUAUUGCACAAUGGGGGAAACCCUGAUGCAGCGACGCCGCGUGAAGGAAGAAGUAUCUCGGUAUGUAAACCUCUAUCAGCAGGGAAGAUAGUGACGGUACCUGACUAAGAAGCCCCGGCUAACUACGUG